CAGCUGAAUCAGUCCUAGUUGUUGAUUAGUUCUGCAAGUAAGAACACCCAGUUCUUUGGAAGUUAGUGCUCUUCUUGUAAUUUGAGCCACAAGGUUUCUCUACAGCCAGUCGGGACAGGAGCAGUUAUUCUGUGGUAUCUAUUGGGAAACCUCAAGAGAAAGAAAAUGGGAACCUCUAAAUGCAAAUUCAACUAUGACUGGACCAACCACAGGAAUUGACCAGUAGAAUAUGGUAGAAGUGAGUUUGUGCCAGACCUUCAGAGAUCUGUAGCUUCCACGUCCACCUUUCCUG
Long non-coding RNA from Trichechus manatus latirostris (Florida manatee), 292 nucleotides. RefSeq lists it as uncharacterized. The transcript is spliced from 2 exons. Lineage: Eukaryota; Metazoa; Chordata; Mammalia; Sirenia; Trichechidae. The record is from RefSeq and is a predicted model, not a curated record.